CCCUUAGACGUUCUGGGCCGCACGCGCGCUACACUGACCAGUGCAACAAGCAUCCGUCCUUGGCCGACAGACCCGGGCAAUCUUUGAACGCUGGUCGUGAUGGGGAUAGACUUUUGCAAUUUUUGGUCUUCAACGAGGAAUUCCUAGUAAACGCAAGUCAUCAACUUGCAUUGAUUACGUCCCUGCCCUUUGUACACACCGCCCGUCGCACCUACCGAUUGAAUGGUCCGGUGAAGCCUCCGGAUUGGCGCGCACCUCGGUGCCGCCGAGAAGUUGGCUAAACCUUACCAUUUAGAGGAAGGUGAANUCGUANCA
This 315-nucleotide ribosomal RNA is filed under the name uncultured eukaryote. RNAcentral describes it as "partial 18S ribosomal RNA". It matches the Rfam family "Eukaryotic small subunit ribosomal RNA", at positions 1470 to 1796 of the family's 1831-position model. The record is from RNAcentral.